AUGAACGCUGGCGGCGUGCCUAAUACAUGCAAGUCGAGCGAACGGACGAGAAGCUUGCUUCUCUGAUGUUAGCGGCGGACGGGUGAGUAACACGUGGAUAACCUACCUAUAAGACUGGGAUAACUUCGGGAAACCGUAGCUAAUACCGGAUAAUAUUUUGAACCGCAUGGUUCAAAAGUGAAAGACGGUCUUGCUGUCACUUAUAGCUGGAUCCGCGCUGCAUUAGCUAGUUGGUAAGGUAACGGCUUACCAAGGCAACGAUGCAUAGCCGACCUGAGAGGGUGAUCGGCCACACUGGAACUGAGACACGGUCCAGACUCCUACGGGAGGCAGCAGUAGGGAAUCUUCCGCAAUGGGCGAAAGCCUGACGGAGCAACGCCGCGUGAGUGAUGAAGGUCUUCGGAUCGUAAAACUCUGUUAUUAGGGAAGAACAUAUGUGUAAGUAACUGUGCACAUCUUGACGGUACCUAAUCAGAAAGCCACGGCUAACUACGUG
This 496-nucleotide ribosomal RNA is filed under the name uncultured bacterium. RNAcentral's name for it is "partial 16S ribosomal RNA". It matches the Rfam family "Bacterial small subunit ribosomal RNA", at positions 29 to 507 of the family's 1533-position model. The record is from RNAcentral.